This 66-nucleotide transfer RNA is filed under the name Endopterygota sp. 24 LC-2017. RNAcentral describes it as "tRNA-Asn". The record is from RNAcentral. Lineage: Eukaryota; Metazoa; Arthropoda; Insecta.
UUAAUUAAAGCCAAAGAGAGGCCUAUCACUGUUAAUGAUAUAAAUGAAUUUUUAAUUCUAAUUAAA